This is a non-coding RNA of Nylanderia fulva, 596 nucleotides long. The record is from RefSeq and is a predicted model, not a curated record. NCBI's taxonomy places the organism in Eukaryota, Metazoa, Arthropoda, Insecta, Hymenoptera, Formicidae.
CUUCUGCAUUUCAUUCAUGUUAUUUAAUAUAUUGUACGUGUGAUACUUUCUGUGGGAAAGUUUCAUAUAACAUUUAUUCAAGCAUUUAUGUCAAAAUGUUGGCCAUAAAUACGGCGAACGUUAUAAAUUUGUUAAUUACAACGUUUCACAUUGCAAAUCUCGCUGUCACUCCUGUUAAUCAUCGUGAAGUAGAACUCCACGAUGCAAUUUCAAAUUUAAUAAGGGAUUCUCUAAAAGACGAUAUUACGAUUGAAUAUGAUUGGGGACUUGAUUUUGAUGAUCCAUCGGAACCUCAAGCUGUACAGUUUGUAGAUUCGUAUGAUCCUCAUGCUGAAGAAGAUAACUAUGAAAUGAAGUUUGUAUUGUAGAUGACGAAGGUGGAAGUGUAGAUUUAAAUUAUAAAAGAAAAGCGGUUGAAUAUUGGAACAGUGGAAAAAAAAGACGUUUAUCCGUUUCUGUUGUACAGAAUUGUUUUAGAAAGGUAAAACAUGUUUCGCAAUUGUACAGAUGGCAGGAGUAUAUAAUGCGUGGAGGGACAAACAGAGACAAAUUGAUAUUCAUUGCCGAAUAUGUAUUAAUAAAAUUUCAAGAAACUA